This 403-nucleotide ribosomal RNA is filed under the name uncultured bacterium. RNAcentral describes it as "partial 16S ribosomal RNA". It matches the Rfam family "Bacterial small subunit ribosomal RNA", at positions 30 to 526 of the family's 1533-position model. The record is from RNAcentral.
AUUGAACGCUGGCGGCAGGCCUAACACAUGCAAGUCGAGCGAGCGGCGGACGGGUGAGUAAUGUAUGGGGACUGCCCGCUAGAGGGGGAUAACUACUGGAAACGGUGGCUAAUACCGCAUACUAUCGGAUAACCCAUAUGGGAUUAGCUAGUAGGUGGGGUAAAGGCUCACCUAGGCGACGAUCGCUAGCUGGUCUGAGAGUAUGAUCAGCCACACUGGGACUGAGACACGGCCCAGACUCCUACGGAGGCAGCAGUGGGGAAUAUUGGACAAUGGGGGCAACCCGGAGGCAGCCAUGCCGCGUGUAUGAAGAAGGCCUUAGGGUUGUAAAGUACUUUCAGCGGGGAGGCGUUACCCGCAGAAGAAGCACCGGCUAACUCAGUGCCAGCAGCCGCGGUAAUAC